RNAcentral lists this ribosomal RNA (253 nucleotides) under uncultured bacterium. RNAcentral describes it as "partial 16S ribosomal RNA". It matches the Rfam family "Bacterial small subunit ribosomal RNA", at positions 524 to 776 of the family's 1533-position model. The record is from RNAcentral.
UACGGGGGGGGUAAGCGUUGUUCGGAAUUACUGGGCGUAAAGGGCUCGUAGGCGGCCAACUAAGUCGGACGUGAAAUCCCUCAGCUUAACUGGGGAACUGCGUCUGAUACUGGAUGGCUUGGAUUUGGGAGAGGGAUGCGGAAUUCCAGGUGUAGCGGUGAAAUGCGUAGAUAUCUGGAGGAACACCAGCGGCGAAGGCGGCGCUCUGGGCCGGUACUGACACUGAGGAGCGAAAGCGUGGGUAGCAAACAGG